CUCAAUGAGAUUAUGAAAACCAAGCAGCUGGAUGUGCACGUCCGCUUCUGGGAUGAGGGGCAGGUUCAUUCAAAUAUCUGGGCUCCCAGUUUAUGGGACACUCCACUGCACAGGACUUGCUGUCCCACCUCAAAGAAUGCAUGGACAAACUGGACCUCAGGGGCUUGGUGUCCCUCUCAGUGGAUGGGCCCACUGUGAACUGGAAACUGUUCGAUCUUUUCCAGAAAGAACAAGCUAAACAAUACAGAGAUGUUCAGCUUGUUUGUGUGGGGAGCUGUGGCCUGCACACGCUACACAACGCGUUCAAGUGUGGGUUCACUGCAUGGCAGCUGGACAAGUUGCUUAGAGCAAUGCACACAUUGUUCCACAAUGUGCCCGCCAGGAGAGAGGAUUACAUCACAGUAACAAAGUCCAGUGUGUUCCCCCUGUCCUUCUGUGCCCAUCGCUGGGUGGAAAACCUACCUGUUGUCGAGAGAGCCCUUGUAGUCUGGCCAUCACUGCUCCUGUACAUGGAGGCUGUGAAAACGAAGACACUCCCAAACCCUGGAACCGCAUCCGCUAACACCAUUGAAGCAGCCAUGAAGGAUCCUCUCAUAUUGGUGAAACUGCAGUUCUACACGGCACUAGCCAGGACCUUCACUCCCUUCCUGAAAAAAUAUCAAACGGAUGAGCCUGUGCUGCCAUUCCUCUCCAAGGACCUGACCGAGUUGAUGAUGAGUCUACUCAGACGCUUCAUCAAGAGAGAAGUCCUCCACAACAUCACUGCCCUGCAGCUGACCAAACUGGAUGUCACAGACAAGACCAUCUGGCUCAGCCCACAAGACAUCAGCAUUGGUCUAGGUGCCGAGUCAGUCCUUAAGAGGAUGUCAUUCUCCAACAGUUUGACAGUCUCCUGUCCUUGGAGAGCCGAAGUGAGGACUUCCUCUCCUUUCCUCCCAUGCAGAAGAGGCUGGACCUCUUCCUGAGCAGUGUCCUCAGGGAGCCCUAUCCCGAACUGUGGGCCUUCUGCAAGAAGCUACUCAUCCUCUCCCACGGCCAAGCUACAGUUGAGAGAGGAUUCUCUAUCAACAAAGAGGUGGAGUUCGACAACAUACAAGAGGACACUGUGGUCACACGGAGGCUGAUGUGUGAUUACAUUAUGCAACAUGGAGGUGUUACCCAGGUUCCACUCAUUAAAGAGCUACUGGCAAAUGUAGCAGCAGCCAGGGCCAGAUAUCGGGUCCAUCUCGACACAGAGAGAAAGAAGAGGGAGGCAGAAGCCCAGGCUCUUAAGAGGAAGGGAGCAGAGGACCAACUUCAGGACCUAAGGGGGAAAAGGAGACACCUACAAGAGGUAUCUGAGGGUCUGGCCAGGGAUGCGGACAGGCUGAGGGGAAGGCAGGGAGCAAGAUGGCUGACCUAAUCACAAGGUCCAACCUCCUGAGGAGAGGCCAUAAGGAGAAGUUGGCGGAACUGGCUGUCCUUGACAAAGAGAUUGCUGCCAAGAGUGCAGAGCUUAGGAGUUGACUUUGUUUCUGAUGUUCAUUGUUUAUUUUGUUAAUAGCUGGUUGGGGAAGAGUCUCCCCUGUUCUAUUCUGCAAUGAGAUGACACCCCCUCAUCUUUACACAACCACAGAUUUUCAGGGUUCAUACACAUUUUAACCAACAAAUUUCCAUGACUUUCUCAUGACUUGGUAGCAAGUUUCCAUGACAAUACAUGACCUCUAAAACAUCUAUGUAUGCAUGAAAUAUAGGAAUAAAACUAUGUAAACAAAUUAUCACAGUGGAAAUGUCAAAAAAAUGGAUCUAAUGACAAUUAUGGUUUUAUACAAAAUAAAUAUUUGUUUAAACAAACACUGAUAGACCAGUUUACAUAAGGUAAGGUAUAUGUUAUUGUGUUCUGGAAUAAUUUCAUGAGGCAUACAUGUUUCGGAGGUAACAAGGUCUGAAAAAUGAAUAAGCAAAUGAAGGUACCCAAGAAUACUUUAAUAAUAAAACAUAAGGAGGAAACGUUUUAAAGCAGCUCAUCAUGGAGGCGAAAACAAAACAACCUUUACACAGUUUCCUGCUCUAUAUGAUCAGUAAUAUGUCAGCUCUGUGAUGGAAGAAAUACUUUGCACUCUGCUUAAGAAAAAGAUAAAAAAAGAGAUAAUUUCCUACGAUCCGGUUAAAGUCUAAAAGGAGAACGUUUCUGAGCUCUGGAUUUCAGAGGCGUGUUGCAACGAGAGCAGGAUUUAUGGAAGAGUGUUAGGCCACUGUAAAAAAAAAAUGUUUUUUUGAGCUCUGACUUUUUUUUUAACAAGCUUUACAUUAAAGUGAAAUUUUCACAUCAACGUGCAAGCUAUAGCCUCCUCCCACAGAAACAAUCCAUACAUCAUUCAUUUUUUCAUUUCUGCCAGCUUCUCAUCAAUUUGCUUUUCAAUCUUCAGCAGAGAAGCUUUCUUUUCUUUUGCAGUACGCCGGAAACUGUUGGAUUUGGCGAUGAAUGUCAGUUUGCUUGUGGUCUCUGCUUUCUCAGCAUAUUCAUCAGCUGACUUUUCUAGAGCACAAAUAUCAGCCUCAAUUGUAGCCCUCCCCUUUUUCUAAUCAUGGAGUUCAUCAUUGAGGGCCUUCCGCUUCAGAUCAACAGUUUGCUUUUCUGUGACUCUUUUCUGCUCAUCCAAGUAGGCAUGAUACUUUUGUCAAGCACCUGCUGCUGACAUGAGCAGCUCUUUUGUGAUGUUAACGUUUGUUACACCCCCAACAGAUCAGACAUGGUCGACAAUGAGUCUCUGCGCCACCAAAGACAGUUCUUUCUGAUUCUCCACAAUCAAUUCUUUGUUGACUGAAAAUCCUCUUUCCACACUGGCCUGUCCAUGAGACAGGACCAGUACAAGCUUCAUCAGAUCCCACACUCUGCAAAAAGAUGGCUUUGUCCCCACUGUCUCGUAGAGAAGGCUGUCAACCUCUAUCUGUGAUGGGAUCAAACUCCCUGAAAGCAGAGUGACAACGAGCCAUAUCACAAACCUCCCUAAACUCUCUGAGGGUAUCAUCACACACUGCAUCAUCUAUGUGUUUACAUUCAACAAAUAUUCAAUUCAAUUCAAUUCAAUUUUAUUUAUAAAGCCCAAUAUCACAAAUCACAAUUUGCCUCACAGGGCUUUACAGCAUACGACAUCCCUCUGUCCUUAAGACCCUCACAGCGGAUAAGGAAAAACUCCCCAAAAAAACCCCUUUGACGGGGAAAAAAAAACGGUAGAAACCUCAGGAAGAGCAACUGAGGAGGGAUCCCUCUUCCAGGACGGACAGACGUGCAAUAGAUGUCGUACAGAACAGAUCAGCAUAAUAAAUUAACAGUAAUCCAUAUGACACACAGAGAGAGAGAGAGAGAGAGAGAGAUGCAGGUAAUGACAGUAGCUUACAACAACAUUAAUGAAAGUAAUAAUAUUAUAGUUAUAGUUCUGGUUACUGCGGUACAAUAUGUUGAAAGUAUGUAUUAAUACCUGGCAGUAUACAUGUGUGACAAUAAUCAUAUGUGUAUAAUAACAGAAGAAGUAUGACUAAUGACUAAUGAUGGCAGCAGCAGCAGGAGGCAUCUGGCAGGACCACGGCAGCAGCACAA
RNA transcript from Epinephelus fuscoguttatus (brown-marbled grouper), 3580 nucleotides. RefSeq lists it as uncharacterized. The record is from RefSeq and is a predicted model, not a curated record. Lineage: Eukaryota; Metazoa; Chordata; Actinopteri; Perciformes; Serranidae. The transcript is spliced from 7 exons.